CCGACUGAGACGUGGCUCUAGCCACGUGAGGACCGGGCGGGCUUCAAUGGGCCCCAACAUGCUAAUCCUUGUUAGCCUAUCGCACGGCCUCCUUCGCGCUGGCUGCGGUGGGGAGCGUGCUGCCGGGACCCUGGCGCCGGCUGGGAGCCAGAGGCGACCUUGCCUUACUCCUGUCCCAUGGAGGGCGCGGCCACCCCAUGCCAGCACCAGAGAGGCAGAUUAGCCUUAGGAUGGAGCUCAAGGAUGAAUUCCGGGGACACCCGGGCAUAAGGACCAUGGCGUUAAGAUAGGGCGUCAGUCCGAGAAAACAGUGAAGGAAGGCAGUGUGGGGUGCUCAAAUGGACCAUAUGGUAUGAAGACGCGAGCCGUGGCGCCCACAGACAAUGGAAAGGAGAGGGGCCCAGGCAUCCUUGCAUUAUUUCUGAAGACUCAUUCUUACUCGUGGUAAAUAAUGCUUUGGAAACACCUCCACGCAGGCGUUAGUUUCCAUGGCCAGGAUUCUUCCCUGACGACACUUUUGGAAAUAGGCUGGCUGACAGGAAGGCUCAUGAAGAAGUUACUGAGGAUGCGUCCAUGGAGCCACAUAGGUUGCCAAGAGGUAUUGAACAUUCGAAGUUCUCCAAAACUGUCUUCUAACACCCAGACAUUGUUUAUAUUCGACCUUUCUGAUGGAGUUCUGCAAAAGUUUUCUUUCUACACUGCAGUCAACAUAACACUAUGACCAAAAGCAACUUGGGGGAGGAAAGGGUUUGUUUGGCUUACAUAUUCUGAGGCACAGUCCGUUGAGGGAAGUCAGG
This is a long non-coding RNA of Acomys russatus (golden spiny mouse), 797 nucleotides long. RefSeq lists it as uncharacterized. The transcript has 3 exons. The record is from RefSeq and is a predicted model, not a curated record. Lineage: Eukaryota; Metazoa; Chordata; Mammalia; Rodentia; Muridae.